Long non-coding RNA from Ctenopharyngodon idella (grass carp), 3981 nucleotides. RefSeq lists it as uncharacterized. NCBI's taxonomy places the organism in Eukaryota, Metazoa, Chordata, Actinopteri, Cypriniformes, Xenocyprididae. The transcript is spliced from 2 exons. The record is from RefSeq and is a predicted model, not a curated record.
UUUAUAAUAUUUGAUAUAUGGAUGUUUUAAUGCAAUAACGCAUGUACAAAACCUUUUUUUUUUUUUCUUUAAAAAAGGACAAUUUAUCUUAAAAUGUGUGCAUGUGUUUCAUGCUAAUCUGAAUCUGUGUUAUUUUAUAAUUUUCCUGUAUAUUAUCUUCAAGCUUUUGCACCGCGAUUUUGCAUGUUCCUGGGUCAACAUAUUUUGUUGAUCCCAGAACAACAUUCCUAUCUGAAAAUUUAUUCCUAACCAUAUCCCUACCCCUAAUCCUACCCAUAAAGUAUCCCUAAAAUCAGAGGGAAAUGAUAGAUGAAUAACACUGAUGUAGAAGCACCUAACCCUUGUUGUAAGCUUAAACUUAAUAUAAACUGUAAACUUGUCCCUCGAAUCUGAUUGGUUGAUUGGAAUGUUGUUUCAGGAUCAACAUGUUGUACUUGGUGAAAUCACGUUCACCAGUCCAUGACAAUGUACAAAAACAACUGGCCCAAGUCAAGUCACCUUUAUUUAUAUAGUGCUUUUUACAAUACAGAUCGUUUCAAAGCAGCUUUACAGUGAUAACAGGAAAAUAAUGCAACAAAGUUUGUUUUGGCUGUACAGCAGCUCUUGAAGAAAAUAGUGUCAUUGUCCAGCUUAAGUAAAUUCAGUGGUGAUUCAUUUCCGUUGUAAAAAUAAAUAAAUAAAUAAAUAUUAAAACUUAGUUCAUUUAUCUAUACAGCAGCUCUAGAGAAAACAGUGGUGUUGUCUUCCAGCUCAGUUCAGUUCUCAUACAACGGUAUAAUUGCAGGCAGUGCAAUAAUAUUGUUGAAUAUUAAGUGUCCCCAUCUAAGCAAGCCAGAGGUGACAGUGCAAGAAACCCAAACUCCAUCAGGUAACAGAAUGGAGAAAAACCAGGCACAGUCGGUGGUCAGUUCUUCUCUGGCCCAGCAACAAGACUACUGCAACCAUAUUGCAGUAAGUUUUCACUACAGUCGAUAAAUGAGAUGCAAGAUGGCGUAAGUUGCAUUUAUGUGAAACAAGAGAGAGCGAGUCCGCGGUGUAAACGAGAAUAGUGCCGAUUUCUGUUACCCCGAUGAGAUACACAGCACUGGAAACGGGCCAUUGACAACAGCAAAUUUUAGGAAAUAUCUGACCACCGAAUAUCAGUGAUGUCAGAAUAGACAUCAAGACACUGAUUCAACAGAAGAAUAAUUUGUAUUUGAUUUCACCAUCCUUACUACUCUCCAUGCAGAAAUCAUUAAUAGCCUGUGGUGUGAUGUCACGGUAAGGAAGUUUCAGCAGGUAUUACUCAGCAAAGUCUUCUGCCGUUCCUGUCUUGGGAUCGUGGGAUUCCCCUUAUUUCCUCAUAGUCUAAGCAGCUAAAAACGGAAAGUUAAGGGGUUUUACUCCUUUUGUGUGUGUUGCAUUCCAACGCUUACUGAAUUGCAAGUCAUUGCAUGUGACUUUAUAAAAUCCAGACUUUCCGACUGUUUUUUCUCUUCCUUAUUUUGUAUAAUGUAACCUCAUUAUUAACGUCUUUUUUUUCUUUUUUUUUUUUAGAAAAAUAACUAAUCAAAGCUAAUUACCCUAAAUCUGUUGUCUACUCUAAAUAGUGUUCAUGAGAUAUAUUACAAAUGAAUGUAAAGCACAUUGAGACCUUUGUGCAGCAUUCAAAUAGAAGAUAAUGCCACAAGAUCAAGAACCCAGCAUUGCAUCAGAGUUGUAACUGUAACCACGCUGAUAUUUUUAGAGCAAUGAUCAGUAUGGCAGUAUGGAAAUUUAAUGUGAGGUGUUUCUGUGUUACUGUAGCGUUUUGACGACAUGGCAGUCGCAUGUGACCUACUCUGUCAAAGGAGUACUUCUGAGAAAUGCUCUGCUUUAAACUAAACAAGAAGUAUGAGCUUUUUCAGAGAAAGUAUACUGUUCAGCUAAUGUAUCAUGUUCAAGACAGAAGUUUGUCUCCCAUCAAAGUACUGUGCUGUAAAAGUAUUUUCACUCUAGUAUUUGUUUCAUGCAUGUGCUUUAAUAAAAUUCAAUGCAGACAGUCGAGUGAAUCUGAUUUUGUAAUUCAUAGGCUAUUUGAUUCUCAGAUGGGAAAGUACAUGACGUGAUUGACUUUAUCUCAUCAUUCCUUUUUUCAGAGCAUAUCUGUCAUUGUGAGAAUAUAGGGUAAGAACCUGGAAGAAAAAAAAAUGUAUGUUUGCUUGAACUAUAUGUUUUAGCAAAGAAAUCGCAUCAGAUGAACAGGAAUUUUUUAUCAUUGAUUGCAUUGUACAUAUAUCACAGCAUUUCAAUUAAAUGAAUGUAUAAAUUGUGUCUCCAGAUUUUCAGACAUAAUGUAGGUAAAAGCAGAUGAUUUUUAGAGAUUUAAUUACUGCAAGAUUAUAAUCAUCACAGGAUCAGGACUUUGGCUCUAUAUUUGAUUCGUGGGCUGCUGUGUUUCCAACGUGAUCUCAUGAGAAUACGUGUAGCCUAUAUUUUUACGUAAAGUGUGGCACCACACGUACAUUUACUUAGGCCUACGUUUUCACACACACAAAAACGUACAACAUUGACGCAUUUAUAGCACUAAAACGUAAAAAUGCUUACGUAUUAACGGCAAUGAAACGUAAAUUAUGUAACGUAAAGUGUGAAUGAAUUCCAUGUAUUAAUAUUAAAAUCGUGGCAUUAAUGUUUUAAAUCCGUUGCAUUCAAUUGUCAUAUCAAUACAUGUUCUUAGUCGAAUUUAUUGAAUGCAGUUUACUCACAUACUUAAUAUGAAAAUAACAUUUCUGUUCGUGACUUGUGCUGCAGACUCGUUUCGUAGGACAUAAUGUUAAACAAGACUACAAUUUGAAACCUUAUGAAUAAAAUUUCUGUAACGUUAAUUGUUUAACCAUUUUGUAACAUUUAGUUUGUUUGAUGUGCGACACAGAAGGCGUUUUCUGCUAUGCAGCGACUGACAAUACAACCAUAAGAUAGCCUACACCAAAGCACAACAAUUCACAAAUCACAUCCAUUUUAUUUGUUCGCUGUACUCCAUAUCUUUAGAAUCCAUAUGUUUGUAAGGAACAGAUCCGAAUUCAGCCCUUUAGUCAUCAAUCUUCAUCUACAUUUUCAGCAGCAGUGACCGUCAAAGCCCACGCUCGUUAUGAUUCAAAUUUGAAAGUAGCACCAGAGAUCGUAUUAUUAUAGUGAGAUAAGAGGGUCGGUAUCGGGUGUGCCUCAUACGUCCCCCCUACAAUAACCAACUGCAGAACCGCAGAACCAAACGUCAUGACAGUCUGAGGACGACAGCGCCAGACUAACAGCCUGAUGCCGGAAGUGGGCGGAGUAACAGUCUUACACCGGAUGUGGGCGGAGUUAGCGACAAACAAACAAUGGCGGAAGAAAAGCACACGGAGCCACGUAUCACAGAAGACCUCUGUGGUGCACUUGCAUGGCUGCACAACAACCAAAAGUCUUCAAGCGUUUAGUGGAAGAGCUGUGCUUUCUGAUAUUGAAAGAGGAAGACCAGGGAAAAGCCCUUCUUCAACUUUCACAGGCUGAAACGGAUGAUGACAGACCACUGGCCAAAGAGCCUUUAGUGUUUUGCUUACAAAUUAAGGAUGAUAUGGACAUUUUAUGGACUUAAUGAGUGUCUGGACAAAAAGAGUCUUGUAAUUAAUUGCAUGUUUAUGGAGAUUUUAUUAUUAUUAUUUUUUUUAAAGAUUUAAUUUGUCAUCAUGUACCUGCUGUUCAAUUUACACUCUUUGGUUUGAUUUUGUAAUUUUUUAGAGCAAAGCACAGCUAGUAGCUAUAUACUGCUUUUGCUACUUAGGGGGAAAAGUACAUUUUAUUAAAAUUAAAUAAAUAACUUUUGUUUUUGGGUUUGAUGGAUCUGAAUUUGCUUAAUUCAUGCAAUCUAGUGUACAACUGUGUAAUGUGUAUUAUAUAUUAUGAAAAACAAUGGUUCAUUAUGAAAUGCUUGAGUAAAAUAUACAUUUUAUGACAAAUUAAUAAAUGUUUAUAAUUUUUAGUGUUUAA